Molecule: ribosomal RNA, 725 nt
Filed under: uncultured bacterium
Lineage: Bacteria
Description: bacterial SSU rRNA
Rfam family: Bacterial small subunit ribosomal RNA
Source: RNAcentral
GCGGUUAGUGGCGGACUGGUGAGUAACACGUAAGCAACCUGCCUAUUAGAGGGGAACAACAGUUAGAAAUGACUGCUAAUACCGCAUAUGCCUUAGAAUCACAUGGUUCAAAAGGGAAAGGAGCAAUCCGCUGAUAGAUGGGCUUGCGUCUGAUUAGCUAGUUGGUGGGGUAACGGCCUACCAAGGCGACGAUCAGUAGCCGAACUGAGAGGUUGAACGGCCACAUUGGGACUGAGAUACGGCCCAGACUCCUACGGGAGGCAGCAGUCGGGAAUAUUGCGCAAUGGAGGAAACUCUGACGCAGUGACGCCGCGUGCAGGAAGAAGGUUUUCGGAUUGUAAACUGCUUUAGACAGGAAAGAAAAAAGACAGUACCUGUAGAAUAAGCUCCGGCUAACUACGUGCCAGCAGCCGCGGUAAUACGUAGGGAGCGAGCGUUAUCCGGAUUUAUUGGGUGUAAAGGGUGCGUAGACGGGAAGUCAAGUUAGUUGUGAAAUCCCUCGGCUUAACUGAGGAACUGCAACUAAAACUGAUUUUCUUGAGUACUGGAGAGGAAAGUGGAAUUCCUAGUGUAGCGGUGAAAUGCGUAGAUAUUAGGAGGAACACCGGUGGCGAAGGCGACUUUCUGGACAGAAACUGACGUUGAGGCACGAAAGUGUGGGGAGCAAACAGGAUUAGAUACCCUGGUAGUCCACACCGUAAACGAUGGAUACUAGGUGUAGGGGA